CUCUGAAACUACUGGGCCAAAUUCUACCAAACUUGGCCACAAUCAUCCUUGGCAUAUCUAGUUUAAAAAAUGUGUGGCGUGACCCGUCAAACCAACCAAGAUGGCCGCCAUGGCUAAAAAUAGAACAUAGGGGUAAAAUGCAGUUUUUGGCUUAUAACUCAAAAACCAAAGCAUUUAGAGCAAAUCUGACAAGGUGUAAAAUUGUUAAUCAGGUGAAGAUCUAUCUGCCCUGAAAUUUUCAGACGAAUCGGACAACCUGUUGUUGGGUUGCUGCCCUUGAAAUGGUUAUUUUAAGGAAAUUUUGCAGUUUUUGGUUAUUAUCUUGAAUUCUAUUAUAGAUAGAGAUAAACUGUCAACAGCAAUAAUGUUCAGCAGAGUAAGACCUACAAAUAAGUCAACAUGACCAAAAUUGCCAGUCGACCCCUUAAGGAGUUAUUGCCCUUUAUAGUCAAUUUUUAACAACUUUUCAUCAUUUUUUGUAACUUUUCUAAAAAUUUUCUUCUCUAAAACUACUUUGCCAAAUUUAAUCACACUUGGCGACAAUUAUCAUUGUGGUUUAUAGUUUAUGUGUCCGAUGACCCAGCCUACCAAACAAAAUGGCCGACAUGGCUAAAAUUAGAACAUAGUGGUAAAAUGCAGUUUUUGCUUUAUAUCUUUGAAACCAAGACAUUUAGGGCAAUUUUUCAAGAUUUUAAUGUCCAUCAGAAUAAGAUAUAUCCCCUCACAAAUUUUCAGUUGAAUCGGACAACCUGUUGUUGGGUUGCUGCCCUUAAAUUGGUUAUUUUAAGAUAAUUUUGCAGUUUUUGGUUAUUAUCUUGAAUACUAUUAUAGAUAGAGAUAAACUGUAAACAGCAAUAAUGUUCAGCAAAGUAAGAUCUACAAAUAAGUCAGCAUGAUCAAAAUUGUGAGAGGACCCCCUAAGGAGUAAUUGCCCUUUAGAGUCAAUAUUAAAUAACUUUUCCUCAUUUUUGUAACUUGUAUAAAAAUCUUUUCUAAAACUACUUGGCCAAAUUAAACAAACUUGGCCACAAUCAUAAUACUAGGGUAUCUAUUUUUAAAAAGAGUGUCUAAUGACCCCGCCUACUAACAAAGAUGGCCGACAUCAGUAAACACAUUAACAGGUGAGCGACACAGGCUCUUGAGAGCCUCUAGUUAUUUAAUGUCAAAAAUAA
Molecule: long non-coding RNA, 1172 nt
Filed under: Mytilus galloprovincialis (Mediterranean mussel)
Lineage: Eukaryota; Metazoa; Mollusca; Bivalvia; Mytilida; Mytilidae
Source: RNAcentral